This 252-nucleotide ribosomal RNA is filed under the name uncultured bacterium. Its description in RNAcentral is "partial 16S ribosomal RNA". It matches the Rfam family "Bacterial small subunit ribosomal RNA", at positions 525 to 776 of the family's 1533-position model. The record is from RNAcentral.
ACGUAGGUUCCGAGCGUUAUCCGGAUUUACUGGGCGUAAAGCGCGUUCAGGCGGCGCGGUAAGUCGGGUGUGAAAUCUCGGAGCUUAACUCCGAAACUGCAUUCGAUACUGCCGUGCUUGAGGACUGGAGAGGAGACUGGAAUUUACGGUGUAGCGGUGAAAUGCGUAGAUAUCGUAAGGAAGACCAGUGGCGAAGGCGGGUCUCUGGACAGUUCCUGACGCUGAGGCACGAAGGUCAGGGGAGCAAACGGG